GAUGAACGCUGGCGGCGUGCCUAAUACAUGCGAGUCGAGCGAACGGACGAGAAGCUUGCUUCUCUGAUGUUAGCGGCGGACGGGUGAGUAACACGUGGAUAACCUACCUAUAAGACUGGGAUAACUUCGGGAAACCGGAGCUAAUACCGGAUGAUAUUUUGAACCGCAUGGUUCAAAAGUGAAAGACGGUCUUGCUGUCACUUAUAGAUGGAUCCGCGCUGCAUUAGCUAGUUGGUAAGGUAACGGCUUACCAAGGCAACGAUGCAUAGCCGACCUGAGAGGGUGAUCGGCCACACUGGAACUGAGACACGGUCCAGACUCCUACGGGAGGCAGCGGUAGGGAAUCUUCCGCAAUGGGCGAAAGCCUGACGGAGCAACGCCGCGUGAGUGAUGAAGGUCUUCGGAUCGUAAAACUCUGUUAUUAGGGAAGAACAUAUGUGUAAGUAACUGUGCACAUCUUGACGGUACCUAAUCAGAAAGCCACGGCUAACUACGUG
RNAcentral lists this ribosomal RNA (497 nucleotides) under uncultured bacterium. RNAcentral describes it as "partial 16S ribosomal RNA". It matches the Rfam family "Bacterial small subunit ribosomal RNA", at positions 28 to 507 of the family's 1533-position model. The record is from RNAcentral.